UUAUAUUUUUGGUUUGGAGCGAGCAGAGCGAGCAGUCGCACCACGCUUCGCUCCACAGGCCAUACAAACGCUCCACACCGCGUGGCCGCUGCCACUCUAACCUGGUGGUCCCAGCGCGCACGACCCACGUGGAGUUCCAGGUCUCCAGCAGCCUCUGGAACUGCCGGUCUGCGGCCAACAAGGCAGAGUUCAUCUCAGCCUAUGCUACCCUCCAGUCCCUAGACUUCCUGGCGCUGACGGAAACAUGGAUCACCACAGAUAACACUGCUACUCCUACUGCUCUCUCCUCGUCUGACUACGUGUUCUCGCAUACCCCUAGAGCAUCGAGCCAGCGGGGUGGUGGCACUGGAAUCCUCAUCUCUCCCAAGUGGACAUUCUCUCUUUCUCCCCUGACCCAUCUGUCUAUCUCCUCAUUUGAAUUCCAUGCUGUCACAGUUACCAGCCCUUUCAAGCUUAACAUCCUUAUCAUUUAUCGCCCUCCAGGUUCCCUUGGAGAGUUCAUCAAUGAGCUUGACGCCUUGAUAAGUUCCUUUCCUGAGGAUGGCUCACCUCUCACAGUUCUGGACCAUUUCCGGAGACCUUCUCCCCUACCUCACCUCGCUCAUCAACGCAUCCUUGACCGCUGGCUACGUCCCUUCCGUCUUCAAGAGAGCGAGAGUUGCACCCCUUCUGAAAAAAACCUACACUCGACCCCUCCGAUGUCAACAAC
This 709-nucleotide long non-coding RNA is filed under the name Salmo salar (Atlantic salmon). Its description in RNAcentral is "lncRNA (ENSSSAG00000090647.1)". Lineage: Eukaryota; Metazoa; Chordata; Actinopteri; Salmoniformes; Salmonidae. The record is from RNAcentral.